CUCAAAGGAAUUGACGGGGGCCCGCACAAGCGGUGGAGCAUGUGGUUUAAUUCGACGCUACGCGAAGAACCUUACCUGGCUUGACAUGUUAGUGGUAAGAACCCGAAAGGGGGAUGACUCCGACUUUGUUGGAGAGCUAACACAGGUGCUGCAUGGCUGUCGUCAGCUCGUGCCGUGAGGUGUUGGGUUAAGUCCCGCAACGAGCGCAACCCUUAUUCUCUGUUGCCCCGGAGCGACCUCUCUGAGGAAACUGCCAGCGAUGAGCUGGAGGAAGGUGGGGACGACGUCAAGUCAUCAUGGCCCUUACGUCCAGGGCGACACACGUGCUACAAUGGCCGCUACAGAGGGUCGCAAUACCGCGAGGUGGAGCCAAUCCCUAAAAGCGGUCUCAGUUGGGAUCGGAGUCUGCAACUCGACUCCGUGAACGAGGAAUCGCUAGUAAUCGUGGAUCAGCCAUGCCACGGUGAAUACGUUCCCGGGCCUUGUACACACCGCCCGUCACACCACGAAAGUCUGUUGUACCCGAAGCUGGUGCACUAACCCGCAAGGGAGGUAGCUAUCUAAGGUAUGACUGGUGAUUGGGGUGAAGUCGUAACAAGGUAGCCGU
Molecule: ribosomal RNA, 607 nt
Filed under: uncultured Nitrospirota bacterium
Lineage: Bacteria; Pseudomonadati; Nitrospirota
Description: bacterial SSU rRNA
Rfam family: Bacterial small subunit ribosomal RNA
Source: RNAcentral